CCUGCCCAAUGAGGAUUUAAAUGGCCGCGGUAUUUUGACCGUGCAAAGGUAGCAUAAUAAUUAGUUUUUUAAUUGAAAGCUGGAAUGAAUGGUUGGACGAGAAAAUAGCUGUCUCAGGUUAAUUUAAUUAGAAUUUUAUUUUUAAGUAAAAAAGCUUAAAUUUUUUUAAAAGACGAGAAGACCCUAUAGAGCUUUAUAUAUUUAUAAUUAAAUAUAAUUUAGUAUAAUUAAGUUUUUAUUUUUAAAUGUAUUUUAUUGGGGUGAUAAAAAAAUUAAUGAAACUUUUUUUUUAUAUUAACAUUAAUUUAUGAGUUAUUGAUCCAUUUUUUAUGAUUAAAAGAUUAAGUUACCUUAGGGAUAACAGCGUAAUUUUUUUUUAGAGUUCUUAUCGAAAAAAGAGAUUGCGACCUCGAUGUUGGAUUAAAAUUAAUAUUUGGUGUAGAAGCUAAAUAAUUGGGUCUGUUCGACUUUUGAAAUUUUACA
RNAcentral lists this ribosomal RNA (483 nucleotides) under Hymenoplia lata. Its description in RNAcentral is "partial 16S large subunit ribosomal RNA". It matches the Rfam family "Bacterial large subunit ribosomal RNA", at positions 1858 to 2600 of the family's 2925-position model. The record is from RNAcentral. Lineage: Eukaryota; Metazoa; Arthropoda; Insecta; Coleoptera; Scarabaeidae.